UAUAUAAACCAUAUCACCCUGUAGCCCAAGACUGGUUGCCCACUGAAGCUAAGCAGGGCUGAGCCUGGUCAGUACCUGGAUGGGAGACCUCCUGGGAAAACUAGGUUGCUGCUGGAA
Molecule: ribosomal RNA, 117 nt
Filed under: Sinocyclocheilus grahami
Lineage: Eukaryota; Metazoa; Chordata; Actinopteri; Cypriniformes; Cyprinidae
Source: RNAcentral